UCUAGAACUCGAGAUAUGGGCUGAACACUUAAUAGUGUCUGGGCUGCAGGACAGAUUAUGACUUCUCUAUUAUUGCUACAAUUUGAACUUGAAAACGGUCCUUUUGAAUCUUGGACUCUUCAUGAAAGUUUUAGGCCUAUGUUUUAGCUUUCUAUC
Populus trichocarpa (black cottonwood) is the source of this 156-nucleotide non-coding RNA. Lineage: Eukaryota; Viridiplantae; Streptophyta; Magnoliopsida; Malpighiales; Salicaceae. The record is from Rfam.